ACCUUGGAAUCGAAAGGGUUUAGGCUUAGUAGAACUAAAACCGAGUACAUGAUGUGCAGUUUCAGUACUACUAGCUGUGAGGAGGAGGAGGUUAGCCUUGAUGGCCAGGUGGUACCUCGAAAGGACACCUUUCGGUAUUUGGGGUCAAUGUUGCAGGAGGAUGGGGGUAUUGAUGAAGAUGUGAACCAUCGAAUCAAAGCCGGAUGGAUGAAGUGGCGCCAAGCUUCUGGCAUUCUCUGUGACAAGAGAGUGCCACAAAAGCUAAAAGGCAAGUUCUACAGGACGGCGGUUCGACCCGCAAUGUUGUAUGGCGCGGAGUGUUGGCCAACUAAAAGGCGACAUGUUCAACAGUUAGGUGUGGCGGAGAUGCGUAUGUUGAGAUGGAUGUGUGGCCACACGAGGAAGGAUCGAGUCCGGAAUGAUGAUAUACGAGAUAGAGUUGGGGUAGCACCAAUUGAGGAGAAGCUUGUCCAACAUCGUUUGAGAUGGUUUGGGCAUAUUCAGCGCAGGCCUCCAGAAGCUCCAGUGCAUAGUGGACGGCUAAAGCGUGCGGAGAAUGUCAAGAGAGGGCGGGGUCGACUGAUUUUGACAUGGGAGGAGUCCGUUAAGAGAGACCUGAAGGAUUGG
This 627-nucleotide ribosomal RNA is filed under the name Triticum aestivum (bread wheat). RNAcentral describes it as "partial small subunit ribosomal RNA". Lineage: Eukaryota; Viridiplantae; Streptophyta; Magnoliopsida; Poales; Poaceae. The record is from RNAcentral.